RNAcentral lists this transfer-messenger RNA (371 nucleotides) under Oscillospiraceae. Its description in RNAcentral is "Pelethomonas sp014799925 Standard tmRNA". It matches the Rfam family "transfer-messenger RNA". Rfam says of the family: Bacterial tmRNA, also known as 10Sa RNA or SsrA, is named for its dual tRNA and mRNA-like properties. Its role is to liberate the mRNA from a stalled ribosome. RNAcentral also lists the same sequence under 1 other name. Lineage: Bacteria; Bacillati; Bacillota; Clostridia; Eubacteriales. The record is from RNAcentral.
GGGGGUGUACCGGUUUCGACGGGGAUGAGGAAGCGGGAUCAGCGGGCGGUGGAGCCUGGCCACCUUAAAAACGGGCAACCUUUAUAAAUUAAAGAACAACAACAGAACUGUUCUUGCCGCUGCCUGAUCAGGCGCGGCCGUCCGACUUAAGAGUACCGCGGCUUAGGAAGGGCGUCGUUUAGCGGUGAACGUGCGUACGGAAAGAGUUGACCGUGCCAUGCAUGAUGACUCUCACCUGACCGGCAGGCGUGACGGCUUGCCUGCCGGAAGGGGAACAGAGCGGGUCAGCCGCUCAAAAUAACCGUCUGCGCCCGGAGAAAAUUCCGUGAAAUUGUUUUCGGACAGGGGUUCGACUCCCCUCACCUCCACCA